GAACAUCUUUUCUCUAAUCACUCCAAUGGAACUCAAACACGUACUUCAAGUUAAUUCUGGUAUCCAAGAAUCAGUCUCAUCUAACAUAAACAAGAACAUUCAACUUGAUAGAACUUCAUUACCUCAUUUUUACAAUUCCCAAAGUUACUAAAUGAAGGACCAUUCCUAAAACAUACUUACAUCCAACUUUCUCCAUGAAUAAACUUAUCGUCUUUUAUGUACUGAUGAAUAUAGAGAUGGAGCGAUCAGAGUUUGUUUAUGUACCAAAUUAGAGUGAGUUGAGAAAAGAGUGGAUUUACACAAGGACGAAAUGGCUGGCUGCUGCUUGUUCAAAACUGAAAGUUAGGGUGACCAUGUUU
This 359-nucleotide long non-coding RNA is filed under the name Cucumis sativus (cucumber). RNAcentral describes it as "long non-coding RNA (CSAT_LNC003060)". Lineage: Eukaryota; Viridiplantae; Streptophyta; Magnoliopsida; Cucurbitales; Cucurbitaceae. The record is from RNAcentral.